CUACUCCAAGGUGUACAGCGCCCCCUGUAGAAAUCAAGCACUCCAAACAUGCGGCUAAUGGGGGAUGCUGCACGUGCUGGACAAAUGACGACCGACUAAGUGGCUGGUAAUGUACGUCGAGACAUUUUGUAUUGGCAUUUGCAAUCUCAAGUAAGCAGUCGGAAACAGUGAAUCUUACAAGCAAAUAUUCACCUCGGCAAUGGCUAGACUGCUGAACAUCUUUGCUAACGCUUCUGGCAUUGCCUGUAUCUGUUGGAUUACUAAGGAUCCAUUGGACUACAACAAAAAAUCUUUAAUGUUCUACUGGAGGAAAAAGUUGCACCUUGGCUGUUCUGGGGUUUGCCUUUAUUCUGUGGCUUUCAACAGUGAGUAAGUCUGGUGGUCUUUGAGCUGCUUCAGCCUGCCUUCAUCUCACAGCUGGGAGAUCCAGCUCUUCUGUUCACUGCCAUCCAUGGAGCCCCAAAGGCCUUACUGGCAUAAAU
Non-coding RNA from Danio rerio (zebrafish), 482 nucleotides. The record is from RefSeq and is a predicted model, not a curated record. NCBI's taxonomy places the organism in Eukaryota, Metazoa, Chordata, Actinopteri, Cypriniformes, Danionidae.